GUAAAGUGUCUUAGUCCUCUCAUCCCCAAUUUCGAGUCUAGCUUUCCAUCCCCUUCUUUGGUUUUCUCCUAUCUUACUUAGCUUCUUCAUUUGCAUUUUAAUUAAUGUUGUUCUACUUCUUUGAGCUGAAAUCGUUGGUUACUACCAUCAAUAUAAUCUAUAUAGAGUUGUUACGUUGGUGCUAUUAUCUAUCAAACUCCAAUGGAAGAGGUGGUACUAGAUCGAUUUAACAGCAUCAACAACCUAGAGAGCUGAACUUUUCGAGCUGAGCAAUACUUCACCAACCUUGGCUUCUCCGAGAAGAACUGGCUAACUCUUCCUUCCUUCUACCUUGAUGGUAAAGCUCCUACUUGGUUCAAUUGCUUGUUUCAGAAUAAACAAUUUUUAGAUUGGGCGCAUUUCAAUGCUCAGCAUUUUCGACAGCAAAAUGUAACAUAUCUGGUAAGGCAUCUUAGUUGAUUCCUCACAGGUUACUUUUAACUACAUUAAUAUUGUGCCUAUAGUGUCAUAAUUAGCUGUGGUGUCUCCCUUUCCCCCUUCAAGCCUUCUUUCGGAGUCAUCAACAUUUGAAUUGGCUUAUGAAAAUGGAAACUCGAAGGAGGACCAUAUGUUCGAUAAAUUGCCACUGUAGUAUGAAACUGUAGAUUCAUUGACAUUGAUUACAUUAAAUAAUACUGAGACUGAAAAUCCUGAAGAUAUAAAAGCACCUCAAAUGGGUAAUGCAAAAUUUGUAGAGGUAGUGGAAUUGGUACAAGAACCUUCUGCCACUAUUGAUGAUCAGGUAUUCCAUAACAUUUCACACGCCGCAGUAAGAUCCAGCAUUCAUGAGCUUAAUGCUAUUGUCCAUGAGGGAGACAACUCUGUUACUACAGUAUCCAAGAUGUACGAUGAUAGCUUCUUCCCAAAUGGCGGCUUCAAAACCAAGGUACAUAGUGAGGUGUUUGAUGAAACGACCAAAUCUAAUACUGGGGAGGAAGAAAAUUCACGAGAUACUACUGUAGCUUAGGUGUUUGACAAAUCUCGUCAACGGGAUACAUAAGAUCUUCUGGUUUUUUACUAGCCAAGGAAUUGUGCUGUCGAAUGCGAGUGUGAGAUUUGGUAUAAUAGAAUUUUCAUUUGAUGGUACACUAUGGUUUGGCAUAAUUACAAGUUUGCUUAACUUCUCUUGAAGAUAUUGAUGGGGUUAAUCAAAGUUAGGUGUAACUUUACCUUGACUUUGGCUCACACAGAUGCAAUUGGGUUAAUACUGGACAGGAACACAAUCUUCCAGGAUUCUUGUUGUCUAAAUCAAGAGAGUGUGCUCGGGAGUAGAAAAUACAAAGAGGGCUCCAGGUAUUAGCUGAAAGUUACUCCAUAGUGACUGCAUUUGUUCUACAUGCUUAAACUAAGAGACUUCACUUUAUUUUGUUAUGUGGAUUGUUGUGACUAUUUCUCAUACCCAUCAUUGUCUGUUUAAAGCUCCAGAACUGCUUGCAAAGGAUAAUAAUAGAAUUCUUAUUCCAUACAAUACACUAUUUAAUUUGGAAACUGAAGGUACCUUGGCGUUUGAUUUGCCUAUGAUGAAACUGCAGAGCUUUCAAUGAAUACCAAUUUAUUGUGAGCUAGAAGCAUCCACAUGUUGCUUCCUUGCUUCAGAUCCAAGAGUUCAACAGAGCUUAUGGCGGGACAAUUGUAAAUAAUUGUGUAGAUGAAUACUUUAGUGACUAUAAUGAGACAAUUGGUGGGGAAUGAAAUUUGUAGAUGAAUACUCCAUGAGGGGCAUUCUCUCAAGUAUGAGGCUCAUGUGGCAUUCCAGAAACUCAAUUCGCCACAAGGAUACUGAUCCAUUACUUUUUCUCAGACACAAGGAGUUAGUUUUAUUGGCUUUGGCAGGGGAAGAAUAUUUGCCAUUCAUGGGUAUGCAUUCGAUACUGGUGAGGCUUUAAAGAUGCAUCGGUCAAGUAAUCACUCGGUUUUAUAUGAUAAAGCAGAAAGCUAUGAGGGCAUAGUGGCAGUUUGCUUUUAUUUCAUUAACCCGGACAUUACUACUUGACAUCAUGCUUUUGAUCCAAGUGGAGUUCACCAAGAAAUGAAAUGCUCUAUCUUUCUGGACAAUGAUUAUCAUAAAGCCACACAGCUACAAUGUAAUGCAAUUGGCAGUGCCCAACAUGCUCUUUUGUCUGGAUAUUUGCUGAUGGUCAAGCUUCAAUGCAACAUUGUGAUGAGUUCCCUAUGCUUUCACGUACAACGAAAGUGAAGUGCCUAAGUGAUGAUGGCUACUGGAUCACUUUGUAUCUAUUGGAUGUUCCACUUUCUCAUGGUUGGAUAGUUGUAGAUCAUGAUCGUGCCACAGCAUUUGACUUAAUAUCUGACACUACACUGAUGGUCACGAAAGAUUACAUAUGGGAAUCCUUUUCAAUGGUGCAAGCCAACACAAAUUCUCAUGUUCUCCUAUUAGAAUUUCCUAUAUUGAACCUUGAGGACAAGUUUCUUAUUGAGGUCUGGGGUAUUGUUAUGAUCGUAGUUAACAUUUGGGAGGGCAUGUAUGGAAACUUAGAAACUUAGUUGUGGGAACAAGUUUAGGAACAUGUGAGGUAUGCAGAAUUAAUAAAUAUCAGUACCUUAGGCUAAAAAUAGCUAGCCGAUUAUUGUUAAGUAAAGUGUCUUGGACCUCUCAUCCCCAAUUCCGAGUCUAGCUUCUCAUCCCCUUCUUUGGUUCUCUUCUAUGUUAGUUUCUUCAUUUGCAUUUUCAUUAAUGUUAUUCUACUUCUUUGAGAUGUAAUCGUUAGUUACUACCAUCAAUAGAAUCUAUAUUUUGGAGUUGUUACAUUGGUGCUAUCGUCUAUCAGACUCCAAUGGCAGAGGUAGUACUAGAUCAAUUUAACGGCAUCAGCAACCGAGAGAGCUAGAUUUUUCGAGCUGAGCGGUACUUCACCUACCUUGGCUUCUCCGGGAAGGACUGGCUACCUCUUCCUUCCUUCUACCUUGAUGGUAAACCCCCUACUUGGUUCAAUUAGUUGUUUCAGAACAAGCAAUUUUUUGAUUGGGUGCAUUUCAAAGAGAAAUUUGCUCAGCAUUUUCGACAGCAAAAAAGAAACAUACCCGGUGAGGCGUCUCGUUGAUUCUUCACAGGUUAGUUUUAACUACAUUAAUAUUGCACCUAUAGUGUCACAGUUAGCUAUGGUGUAUCCCUUUCCUGCUCCAAGCCUUCUUUCGAAGUCAUCAGCAUUUGAAUUAGCUUAUGAAAAUAGAAACUCGAAGGCGGACCAAAUGUUCGAUAAAUUUCCACUGCAGUAUGAAACUGUAGAUUCCUUGACAUUGAUUACUAGCAAUAAUAUUUAGACUGAAAACCCUGAAGAUAUAGAAGCACCUCAAAUUGGGAAUGCAAAAUCAGUAGAGGUAGUGGAAUUGGUACAAGAGCCUUCUACCACUAUUGAUGGUCAGGUGUUCCACAAAAUUUCACACGCCGCAGUAAGCUCUAGAAUUCAUGAUCUUAAUGCUAUUGUCCAUGAGGGAGACAACCUUUUUACUACAGUAUCCAAGAUGUACGCUGAUAGCUUAUGCGCAAAAUCCAGCUUUCAUACCAAGGUACAUAGUGAGGUGUUUGAUGAAACGGCCGGAUCUAAUACUGGGGAGGAAGAAAAUUCACGAGGUACUACUGUAGCUUAGGUGUUUGACAAAUCUCGUCAAUGGGAUACAUAAGAUCUUUUGGUUUUUACUAGCCAAGGAAUUGUGUUAUCGAAUGCGAGUGUAAGAUUUGCUAUAAUAGAAUUUUCAUUUGAUUGUACACUAUUGUUUGGCACAAUUCCAUGUUUGCUUAAUUCUCUUGACGAUAUAGAUUGGGUUAAUCAAAAUCAGGUGUCACUUUACCUUGACUUUGACUCACACAGAUGAAAUUGGGUUGAUACUGGGCAGGAACGCAAUCUUCCAAGAUUUUUGUUGUCUAAAUCAAGAGAGUGUGCUUGGGAGCAGAAAAUACAGAGAGGGCUCCAGGUGUUAGCUGAAAGUUACUCCAGGCAGUCACCACAUAUUCAGAUCGAUAAAGCUACUAGACUCUUGUUUGCGCUGUUUGAUCUAGUUCAUAAAGCAAUGUCUGCUUCGCCGUAUAUUAUCUUUGAUCCUAGUACUUACGUUGAUUAUGCCAUAUUUCCCACAUUAGCCGUCUUCAUAGUAGCAAACAACCAUAAUGACUGCAUUUGCUCUACAUGCUUGAACUUCGACUUCACUUCAUUUUGUUAUAUGAAUUGUUGUGACUAUUUCUUGUGCCCAUCCUUGUCUGUUUAAAGCUCAAGAACUGCUUGCAAAGGAUAACAAUAGAAUUCUUGUUCCCUACCAUACACUAUUACAUUUGGAACCUGAUGGUAGCUUGGCGUUUGAUUUGCCUAUGAUGCAACUGCAGAGCUUUUCUAUGCAUACCACUUUAUUGUGA
RNAcentral lists this long non-coding RNA (4408 nucleotides) under Nicotiana tabacum (common tobacco). RNAcentral's name for it is "long non-coding RNA (NTAB_LNC013964)". The record is from RNAcentral. Lineage: Eukaryota; Viridiplantae; Streptophyta; Magnoliopsida; Solanales; Solanaceae.